RNAcentral lists this ribosomal RNA (467 nucleotides) under uncultured bacterium. Its description in RNAcentral is "partial 16S ribosomal RNA". It matches the Rfam family "Bacterial small subunit ribosomal RNA", at positions 29 to 507 of the family's 1533-position model. The record is from RNAcentral.
ACGAACGCUGGCGGCGUGCUUCACCCAUGCAAGUCGAGCGGAAAGGCCCUGCUUUUGUGGGGUGCUCGAGUGGCGAACGGGUGAGUAACACGUGAGUAACCUGCCCUUGACUUUGGGAUAACUUCAGGAAACUGGGGCUAAUACCGGAUAGGAGCUCCUGCUGCAUGGUGGGGGUUGGAAUGUUUCGGCGGUUGGGGAUGGACUCGCGGCUUAUCAGCUUGUUGGUGGGGUAGUGGCUUACCAAGGCUUUGACGGGUAGCCGGCCUGAGAGGGUGACCGGCCACAUUGGGACUGAGAUACGGCCCAGACUCCUACGGGAGGCAGCAGUGGGGAAUAUUGCACAAUGGGCGGAAGCCUGAUGCAGCAACGCCGCGUGCGGGAUGACGGCCUUCGGGUUGUAAACCGCUUUCGCCUGUGACGAAGCGUGAGUGACGGUAAUGGGUAAAGAAGCACCGGCUAACUACGUG